Molecule: ribosomal RNA, 526 nt
Filed under: Thalassospira sp.
Lineage: Bacteria; Pseudomonadati; Pseudomonadota; Alphaproteobacteria; Rhodospirillales; Thalassospiraceae
Description: bacterial SSU rRNA
Rfam family: Bacterial small subunit ribosomal RNA
Source: RNAcentral
UGGGGAUGCGGCAGCUACCAUGCAGUCGUACGAGAAGGUUCUUUCGGGAACUGGAGAGUGGCGCACGGGUGAGUAACGCGUGGGGACCUACCUCUUAGUGGGGGAUAACGGUUGGAAACGACCGCUAAUACCGCAUACGCCCUUCGGGGGAAAGAUUUAUCGCUAAGAGAUGGACCCGCGUUGGAUUAGAUAGUUGGUGAGGUAACGGCUCACCAAGUCAGCGAUCCAUAGCUGGUUUGAGAGGAUGAUCAGCCACACUGGGACUGAGACACGGCCCAGACUCCUACGGGAGGCAGCAGUGGGGAAUAUUGGACAAUGGGCGCAAGCCUGAUCCAGCCAUGCCGCGUGAGUGAAGAAGGCCUUCGGGUUGUAAAGCUCUUUCAGAUGCGAAGAUGAUGACGGUAACAUCAGAAGAAGCCCCGGCUAAUUUCGUGCCAGCAGCCGCGGUAAUACGAAAGGGGCAAGCGUUGUUCGGAUUUACUGGGCGUAAAGGGCACGCAGGCGGUCCUGCCAGUCAGGGGUGAAA